AUGAAAUAAAUCAUACUUAUUUAUCUAAAGCUUUUCUGGAUAAGUUUUGACAAGUUUAGGCUUUCAAUGUCAUUUUUGUGUUAUUAGAUUCAAGUGGGUGUUAUGGACCAGAUGUGAAACAAGAAAAACUGAAGGAUUUCCAUCGACAGAGGUUGCAAGUUCUGGUCAAAGCCAAUCCGGAUUACACAUAUCAUUUCCAUCGGCCUUUGAGACCAUUCCUAAUAAACUUGAAGCCUAGAGUUCAUAUCUAAGCAGGAUAGCAGCAAAGUUGAGGGAAAUAAAGAAAAGUUAUAAUGCUACAAUUUCAGAUCCAGUUGAAGUUAGUUAAUUGAAAAAUUGUGCCCAGCAAAUGAUAAUGGGAGCAAGUGCACUAAGGAAGAGUGAUGUUGCAGCAUCUUAAUUUGUUGCCUCUGAUACAGCUUGAACUCCAGGAGGAAAAACCCUCACUAUAAUAAAUAUAACACGGCAUUUUAAUAAAAUCAGCGGACUUGACACUCGUACCUCUGCUGGAACACUAGAAGGAGUGAAGGAAAAGAGUUAAUUUGCAGGGAAAUAAAAACUCGUGAUUUGCCUGCAUUCUUUGGCCUCGAGAAACGCAGACAUUAAACUAAGCACAAAUGAAACCUACAACCACCGAAGGGCGAGUUUCUAGUAAAGAUCAUUCACGGCAUUCAUGGCGAAAGAUCAUGAAGAUGCAAGUUUGGAGACAGUUUUUUUUUAAAAAAAAAAUGCGAAAAACAACUAGCUAUAUGCAUGCAUCCUGACUUGCAAGAAUUUAUAAAAGCAGAAUGAAAAUGCAGAGAAGACCAGUUUUUAGCCACUGACAGGUUUGUGUGUCAGUAGACUUCAUGUUGCGCAAUGCACACUUCAAAAAUGUCCCGGUAUCCUACGAGAAAGCCUUAGGUUUCCCUUCAUGUUUUCUGUUUCUCUUCUCCUUUUUUAUUCAUACAUGAGGAACAAGAUGAACUGCAUUUCAUUAUUUGAAUGCAGGUUAAAGGGCCUAGGAACAUAAUAUACUGCUACUACAUGCAAACGUUUUCUUGGAAGAACAAAAAAAAUGAAGACUUGUGUGAUGAAAUUGCUUUUAAAAUACAUGGCUAAUUCAGCCUUUA
Populus euphratica (Euphrates poplar) is the source of this 1112-nucleotide long non-coding RNA. RefSeq lists it as uncharacterized. The record is from RefSeq and is a predicted model, not a curated record. The transcript is spliced from 5 exons. Lineage: Eukaryota; Viridiplantae; Streptophyta; Magnoliopsida; Malpighiales; Salicaceae.